This 67-nucleotide transfer RNA is filed under the name Ornebius kanetataki. Its description in RNAcentral is "tRNA-Trp". Lineage: Eukaryota; Metazoa; Arthropoda; Insecta; Orthoptera; Mogoplistidae. The record is from RNAcentral.
AAGGCUUUAAGUUAAAAAAACUAUUAGCCUUCAAAGCUAAAAUUGAAAAAGAGAAUUUCAAGCCUUA